CUCGUUCUCACCUCACUCUCUCAGAAAAAAAAACUCCCUCUCCGAAGAAAAACUUUUCCGCCAUCGAAACACUCUUCCGCCGUUGAAGCAAGUUAGUUCGUCGAGAUGGAGGGCCAUCAUCUGCAAGUUAUACAACAGCUUCAAUUAGAGGUGGCUGAGGCAAGAGAGAGGAGUGGGGUCUAUGCUGAUGACUUGGUUCGUGCAGCUUCAAAAACUAAGGAGGCAUUACCACAUUCACAAAACAAAGGGAACCAGAGCAGUGUAAAUGGGGGUUCCCCUCUAAGUGGUAAUACUACCCCAACGAAAAUGUUGAGGAAUUUCAGGCUGUUGUUUAACUGGCAAUGGAUCACCCAAGCCAGAUCAAGUUCCUGGAGUUCAUAUUGUUCCUUCGUCCCUGUUUGCAAUUGGUGCCUGCGGUCUACCUGGACAGGUUGAGGUGCUGCAUCCCUUGGUUAUGCAGCAUCAAGGUGCUCCACCCUUUUUAACAUCAGCCAACACGCACAUUCCUCAAUCUCAUGUUGGCCAACUUCAGUCAGUGCCUGCAAUUUCAUUCCACCCACAGUGGCAGAACCAGCAGGCGGUGAAGAAGGAAAACAACUAGGUUGGUUUUGAACAGCUGCUCAGGAUACUCGUAGAAGAGUCUCAGCCCAGGGUGUUGAUGUAGGAAGCAUGUUUAGGCAGUAAUCCAGUAGAUAACGAUUCAACUGUUACUAAAGAUCCUAUGGAAAGUAUUUACCAUAGCAUUGUAGUGCUGAAUACACAAGGAUUCCGAAAUUCAUUAAUGGUCGCUGAAAGUUUGACAGUUGCAUGUGAUAUUAGAAACUGAUGAAGUUUCCUAUUCUUGAGGUGGUAAAGAUAUCAUUAGAAAAGUGAUUCUAGCAAGGUACCAUGAGAUAUAGUUUGGCAGACAUUUUAUCGAAUGAGGUCUAGCAAGAAUAUCGUCAAUGUUGUUUGUGUUUGAGUUUUUACAUCUCACUGGAGAUAAUGUUUGUUAAAUGAUGUUGGGGAGGACAAGUUCUGAGAUGAUGCUAAGCAGGUUGCAAUUAUGAGAAGGCUGCGGCAUCCAAAUAUCGUCCUGUGCGUAAAUCUGGUAUAAGUUAGUAAGUAUCAUGUUUGAAAUACUUUGAUUCCUUCGGAUUCUGCUACUGUAAGUCGCUUCCUAAAUUCCCAAAUGCUUCAGUUUCUUUUCUUCUCCGUGCUUCACCUAGAAACCUUCUGUUAGGUUGAUUUUGUGGUUCUAUUACACUUAUACUUGGAAAAUCAGGACCUAGAGCUGGGUUUUCUGGUAAAAUUAAAUAAUUUAUGAAACUUAUUUCAGCUUCAAUUCAUAAUUAUGAGUAUGGUGUGUGAACUCUAAUUUUCUUUUACUUAAAGGUUAUUUGUUUCUUUUCCUUAAAGGUUAAUCAAAAUAUCCAUCUUCUACUCUUAAUUAGAUAUGUCACAAUUAUGAUUUGGUGCAUCAACUCUAUUAAAAGGCCAUUUUUGUACUAGGAGUGGGAGAACAAAGUCGAUUGGAUGAAGAAGAGCCUUAGGAGUGGGUUGCGCAGGUCGAGCUUGGUCUUCUACCUUUGUUUCUAUGCCUGAUGGAGCCAUCUCAAGCGAAUACACUUGUUUGGUUAUGCUUGAAUUUGUGUGGUUCAUGUAUAUGUAUAUGUUUGUAGUUGUGCAGGAGUAUAAGGUCAACUGAAGCUAGUAGCCACCCGGGGUAUAUCAAUCCCUGGUAAGUUCAUUUGGUUAUGCUUGGAGCCCAUUUUUGCUGAAAUUUGUUGAUAUUAACCUUUGGAUUUCACUUUCUUGCGAUGUAUUACAUUUAAUGAUCUUUUUGCUACCGGGUUAUGCCGUUGACGACCUUUCUAUGGUAAGCAACAUACCUUUCGCUCUUUUACGGAUAUCUGAAAAUGGUGCCGACCCAACAUCCCUUUUGCUCUUGUAUUGAUUUGAGCUGUUUUAUUCAGUCUAAAGGUCCAAUCAAUCACUUUCGCUCUUGUAUUGAUUUGAGCUGUUUUUUCAGUCUAAAGGUCCAAUCAAUCAAAGUGGUUAUGAAGCUGCAGUUAGGAAUGGUGAAAUGAAGCUGUGUGCUUGCUGUUGGUAAGGUGGUAAUGUGAAUCUUAGCUAAAUUUGCAAGCAGAGAUGCAGUGUAUGUGUCUUAUUGAGUUGCUGACACUGUGCAGUGGUUGCUUUCGAAACUGAGAAGAUGAUUUGCAGGUUGGCAUUGCAGGUUCAGUUGGAUAAAAAGAACCUAGUGGUGAUAUGAAGUUGCAGCUGCAGGUGGACUGGUUGGCCUGGUAUGCAGUAGCAAGUUGCAGGGACUGAGCUGUUGAGUGGAACUGGAGUUGUGUUUGAAAUACAGUUAGGAUUGAAAGUCAUGAGCAGAUAGUGUUUGAGACUGUGCUGAGAAGAUGAUUACAUGUGGUGAACAGAAUGAAUGGAAACUUGGUCAAGUGGAGCUAGUUAAGGUGUGCGAGAACCAUCCUCAGGGAGUUAGAUUUAAAGAUACCAAGGAUGCUCACAAGUGUAUAGAGCUAAUGAAUGUAAGAUGGUAAGUACUGCAACACUUUCGUGUCCAAUUUUUUUUUUAUCAUCAUAGUUGUUAGAGUUCGACACUAAACUAAGUUAGUCUAAUUGAAAUCAAGAGUAACUCAUACGAAGACCAUGUGUAGAUGAACAUAUAGUUGUUUUUUUCUCUUCUUUUGUAAUUUUCUUAAAUGUUGUUCGUAUGUAUGAUUGAACAUAUCAAUGUCAAUAUAAGCAAUAGUGCA
This is a long non-coding RNA of Papaver somniferum (opium poppy), 2759 nucleotides long. RefSeq lists it as uncharacterized. The record is from RefSeq and is a predicted model, not a curated record. The transcript is spliced from 8 exons. NCBI's taxonomy places the organism in Eukaryota, Viridiplantae, Streptophyta, Magnoliopsida, Ranunculales, Papaveraceae.